AAGCGUGCGCAGGCGGUUUUGUAAGACUGUCGUGAAAUCCCCGGGCUCAACCUGGGAAUGGCGAUGGUGACUGCAAGGCUAGAGUUUGGCAGAGGGGGGUAGAAUUCCACGUGUAGCAGUGAAAUGCGUAGAUAUGUGGAGGAACACCGAUGGCGAAGGCAGCCCCCUGGGUCAAAACUGACGCUCAUGCACGAAAGCGUGGGGGAGCAAACAGGAUUAGAUACCCUUGU
RNAcentral lists this ribosomal RNA (230 nucleotides) under uncultured bacterium. RNAcentral's name for it is "partial 16S ribosomal RNA". It matches the Rfam family "Bacterial small subunit ribosomal RNA", at positions 563 to 791 of the family's 1533-position model. The record is from RNAcentral.